Molecule: ribosomal RNA, 2828 nt
Filed under: Enterobacter hormaechei subsp. oharae
Lineage: Bacteria; Pseudomonadati; Pseudomonadota; Gammaproteobacteria; Enterobacterales; Enterobacteriaceae
Description: bacterial LSU rRNA
Rfam family: Bacterial large subunit ribosomal RNA
Source: RNAcentral
GGGUUGUGAGGUUAAGCGACUAAGCGUACACGGUGGAUGCCCUGGCAGUCAGAGGCGAUGAAGGACGUGCUAAUCUGCGAAAAGCGCCGGCGAGGUGAUAUGAACCCUUGACCCGGCGAUGUCCGAAUGGGGAAACCCAGUGUGAUUCGUCACACUAUCGUUAACUGAAUACAUAGGUUAACGAGGCGAACCGGGGGAACUGAAACAUCUAAGUACCCCGAGGAAAAGAAAUCAACCGAGAUUCCCCCAGUAGCGGCGAGCGAACGGGGAGCAGCCCGGAGUCUGAAUCAGCUUGUGUGUUAGUGGAACGGUCUGGAAAGUCCGACGGUACAGGGUGAUAGUCCCGUACACGAAAGCACACUUGCUGUGAACUCGAAGAGUAGGGCGGGACACGUGGUAUCCUGUCUGAAUAUGGGGGGACCAUCCUCCAAGGCUAAAUACUCCUGACUGACCGAUAGUGAACCAGUACCGUGAGGGAAAGGCGAAAAGAACCCCGGCGAGGGGAGUGAAAAAGAACCUGAAACCGUGUACGUACAAGCAGUGGGAGCACCUUCGUGGUGUGACUGCGUACCUUUUGUAUAAUGGGUCAGCGACUUAUAUUCUGUAGCAAGGUUAACCGUAUAGGGGAGCCGAAGGGAAACCGAGUCUUAACUGGGCGUUAAGUUGCAGGGUAUAGACCCGAAACCCGGUGAUCUAGCCAUGGGCAGGUUGAAGGUUGGGUAACACUAACUGGAGGACCGAACCGACUAAUGUUGAAAAAUUAGCGGAUGACCUGUGGCUGGGGGUGAAAGGCCAAUCAAACCGGGAGAUAGCUGGUUCUCCCCGAAAGCUAUUUAGGUAGCGCCUCGUGAACUCAUCUUCGGGGGUAGAGCACUGUUUCGGCUAGGGGGCCAUCCCGGCUUACCAACCCGAUGCAAACUACGAAUACCGAAGAAUGUUAUCACGGGAGACACACGGCGGGUGCUAACGUCCGUCGUGAAGAGGGAAACAACCCAGACCGCCAGCUAAGGUCCCAAAGUCAUGGUUAAGUGGGAAACGAUGUGGGAAGGCACAGACAGCCAGGAUGUUGGCUUAGAAGCAGCCAUCAUUUAAAGAAAGCGUAAUAGCUCACUGGUCGAGUCGGCCUGCGCGGAAGAUGUAACGGGGCUAAACCAUGCACCGAAGCUGCGGCAGCGACACUAUGUGUUGUUGGGUAGGGGAGCGUUCUGUAAGCCGUUGAAGGUGUGCUGUGAGGCAUGCUGGAGGUAUCAGAAGUGCGAAUGCUGACAUAAGUAACGAUAAAGCGGGUGAAAAGCCCGCUCGCCGGAAGACCAAGGGUUCCUGUCCAACGUUAAUCGGGGCAGGGUGAGUCGACCCCUAAGGCGAGGCCGAAAGGCGUAGUCGAUGGGAAACAGGUUAAUAUUCCUGUACUUGGUGUUACUGCGAAGGGGGGACGGAGAAGGCUAUGUCAGCCGGGCGACGGUUGUCCCGGUUUAAGCAUGUAGGCGGAGGUUCCAGGUAAAUCCGGUACCUUAUUAACGCUGAGGUGUGAUGACGAGGCACUACGGUGCUGAAGUGAUAAAUGCCCUGCUUCCAGGAAAAGCCUCUAAGCAUCAGGUAACACGAAAUCGUACCCCAAACCGACACAGGUGGUCAGGUAGAGAAUACCAAGGCGCUUGAGAGAACUCGGGUGAAGGAACUAGGCAAAAUGGUGCCGUAACUUCGGGAGAAGGCACGCUGAUGUGUAGGUGAAGUCCCUGCGGACGGAGCUGAAAUCAGUCGAAGAUACCAGCUGGCUGCAACUGUUUAUUAAAAACACAGCACUGUGCAAACACGAAAGUGGACGUAUACGGUGUGACGCCUGCCCGGUGCCGGAAGGUUAAUUGAUGGGGUUAGCUGUAAGGCGAAGCUCUUGAUCGAAGCCCCGGUAAACGGCGGCCGUAACUAUAACGGUCCUAAGGUAGCGAAAUUCCUUGUCGGGUAAGUUCCGACCUGCACGAAUGGCGUAAUGAUGGCCAGGCUGUCUCCACCCGAGACUCAGUGAAAUUGAACUCGCUGUGAAGAUGCAGUGUACCCGCGGCAAGACGGAAAGACCCCGUGAACCUUUACUAUAGCUUGACACUGAACACUGGUCCUUGAUGUGUAGGAUAGGUGGGAGGCUUUGAAGCGUGGACGCCAGUCUGCGUGGAGCCGCCCUUGAAAUACCACCCUUUAAUGGCUGGUGUUCUAACGUAGACCCGUAAUCCGGGUUGCGGACAGUGUCUGGUGGGUAGUUUGACUGGGGCGGUCUCCUCCCAAAGAGUAACGGAGGAGCACGAAGGUUGGCUAAUCCUGGUCGGACAUCAGGAGGUUAGUGCAAUGGCAUAAGCCAGCUUGACUGCGAGCGUGACGGCGCGAGCAGGUGCGAAAGCAGGUCAUAGUGAUCCGGUGGUUCUGAAUGGAAGGGCCAUCGCUCAACGGAUAAAAGGUACUCCGGGGAUAACAGGCUGAUACCGCCCAAGAGUUCAUAUCGACGGCGGUGUUUGGCACCUCGAUGUCGGCUCAUCACAUCCUGGGGCUGAAGUAGGUCCCAAGGGUAUGGCUGUUCGCCAUUUAAAGUGGUACGCGAGCUGGGUUUAGAACGUCGUGAGACAGUUCGGUCCCUAUCUGCCGUGGGCGCUGGAGAAUUGAGGGGGGCUGCUCCUAGUACGAGAGGACCGGAGUGGACGCAUCACUGGUGUUCGGGUUGUCAUGCCAAUGGCACUGCCCGGUAGCUAAAUGCGGAAGAGAUAAGUGCUGAAAGCAUCUAAGCACGAAACUUGCCCCGAGAUGAGUUCUCCCUGAGACUUUAAGUCUCCUGAAGGAACGUU